This is a non-coding RNA of Caenorhabditis elegans, 132 nucleotides long. The record is from Ensembl. Lineage: Eukaryota; Metazoa; Nematoda; Chromadorea; Rhabditida; Rhabditidae.
GCAGUAUAAGAAAAAGAAUAAGGAAAAGAAAACGACAAGGAAAAGGAGACGCGCACAUCACGUAUAGGGCCCAGAGUGAGCGUGAUGGUGAGUGAGCGUGUGAGUGAGAGUCGAGAGAGUGCGAGUGUGCCA